UGGGAAGCUGGGCGGGGCUGCCGACCCAGUUGGGUUUCGAGUGGCCGUUCUGGGACUGAGGACUUUCUGGACAGGGGUGCCCGACCUCCCCUUGUCAUUGUGCUUGCUUCGGACGCUGAGCGGUCUACUGGCUCGUUGAGGUGUGGCUUAAACUACCUUUCAGUGGAAUAAAUACUGUGACCUCUCAGGUCAACUUCUAACUGGAGAGUCUGUUCUGUGAUCAUAUACCUCUGCU
This 235-nucleotide long non-coding RNA is filed under the name Felis catus (domestic cat). RNAcentral describes it as "lncRNA (ENSFCAG00000041394.2)". Lineage: Eukaryota; Metazoa; Chordata; Mammalia; Carnivora; Felidae. The record is from RNAcentral.